Molecule: transfer RNA, 64 nt
Filed under: Cyanoplax caverna
Lineage: Eukaryota; Metazoa; Mollusca; Polyplacophora; Chitonida; Tonicellidae
Description: tRNA-Cys
Source: RNAcentral
AGCUUUAUAGUUUAUCUAGAACGUUAAAUUGCAAGUUUAAAAAUACAGUGUUUUGUUGAAGCUU